GCUUCGAUCUCCACCCGGAAGCCCUUCGUUCCUCUGUGCACCUGAUGGCUCCCUCCAGAAGCUCUGAGAACCCGCUACUUGGCACCUCCUCAGGGAUCUGCCAUGGCGUGGGGUUCUCUGCUCCCUCUAUCAGAGACCCACAGCCUGUGGACUGCGAUGGCCCAGCACUCCUGCUUGUGUCUCCCGCUUGGCUGGAAGCCAACCAAGAGCAGGGUGUGUGCUGGGGUGUCCAACCUGGGACCGGGCACAGGGCACACCCACACGUUGAAGGAGUGUGAAUACAUAGACAGAAUCUGGUUCUGGAUCAGCCUUGGAGGUGGGGAGAGGGGCUGGUGGGGUCUGGGCAGAUGAAAGGGAUGGAUAGAGCUUGACGGUGAUGUAGAAAAGCAGUGUGUGUUGGGGGUGAGGGGCUCCAGGGAAGACUGAGCGCCCAGGGAACCUCCAUGAUCCCUGUCCUGGCAGUCUCUAAGGUAUGAGGUCCUCCCUCCCAUGCAAACACCAGAAAUGGUUUGGGGCAGCCUGGCCGUGGGAUGCAGGAGGGAGCUUUGUCCCUUCUGAUGGUGCUGCCACCUGGCUUCCUGGCAGGAGCCAACAGAGCAAGUGGGGGAGCUGGCCUAGAAGCCAAGGGGGUCCCAGGAGCCCUGCAGGUACCUGAGCAGCUUUGGAAAGGAAGGCGCCAGAGGAACUGGGAGGGAGGAGCAUGUCUGGAGAUGACUCCUCCCAGCCUUGGAAGCUGGGGGCGUCUGGAACAGCAGGGUCCCUCAAGAGAGGAAGAUGCCAGGAUGGCACAGGACACAUGCCUGUGUCUCCACCUCCUACAAGUGCUGCCAGUAGAGAUCGCCAUUGCAGCCUUCAGGAAGACUGACUGGCAACCCAUCCUGCUAUGCAGGCCCACCCCAGGUGCAGAGACCUGGCUUCAGCCGCAGCUUGGUCCCUGA
RNAcentral lists this long non-coding RNA (938 nucleotides) under Aotus nancymaae (Ma's night monkey). RNAcentral describes it as "lncRNA (ENSANAG00000038656.1)". Lineage: Eukaryota; Metazoa; Chordata; Mammalia; Primates; Aotidae. The record is from RNAcentral.